This 468-nucleotide ribosomal RNA is filed under the name uncultured bacterium. RNAcentral's name for it is "partial 16S ribosomal RNA". It matches the Rfam family "Bacterial small subunit ribosomal RNA", at positions 28 to 507 of the family's 1533-position model. The record is from RNAcentral.
GACGAACGCUGGCGGCGUGCUUAACACAUGCAAGUCGAACGGAAAGGCCCUGCUUUUGUGGAGUGCUCGAGUGGCGAACGGGUGAGUAACACGUGAGUAACCUGCCCUUGACUUUGGGAUAACUUCAGGAAACUGGGGCUAAUACCGGAUAGGAGCUCCUGCUGCAUGGUGGGGGUUGGAAAGUUUCGGCGGUUGGGGAUGGACUCGCGUCUUAUCAGCUUGUUGGUGGGGUAGUGGCUUACCAAGGCUUUGACGGGUAGCCGGCCUGAGAGGGUGACCGGCCACAUUGGGACUGAGAUACGGCCCAGACUACUACGGGAGGCAGCAGUGGGGAAUAUUGCACAAUGGGCGGAAGCCUGAUGCAGCAAAGCCGCGUGCGGGAUGACGGCAAUCGGGUUGUAAACCGCUUUCGCCUGUGACGAAGCGUGAGUGACGGUAAUGGGUAAAGAAGCACCGGCUAACUACGUG